GUCCAGACUCCUACGGGAGGCAGCAGUGGGGGAUAUUGCACAAUGGGGGGAACCCUGAUGCAGCGACGCCGCGUGGGUGAAGGAGCGUUUCGGCGCGUAAAGCCCUGUCGGCAGGGAAGAAGGAGGACGGUACCUGACUAAGAAGCCCCGACUAACUACGUGCCAGCAGCCGCGGUAAUACGUAGGGGGCAAGCGUUAUCCGGAUUUACUGGGUGUAAAGGGAGCGUAGACGGCUAUGCAAGUCUGGAGUGAAAGGCAGGGGCCCAACCCCCGGACUGCUCUGGAAACUGUAGAGCUAGAGUGCAGGAGAGGUAAGUGGAAUUCCUAGUGUAGCGGUGAAAUGCGUAGAUAUUAGGAGGAACACCAGUGGCGAAGGCGGCUUACUGGACUGUAACUGACGUUGAGGCUCGAAAGCGUGGGGAGCAAACAGGAUUAGAUACCCGAGUAUG
RNAcentral lists this ribosomal RNA (449 nucleotides) under uncultured bacterium. RNAcentral describes it as "partial 16S ribosomal RNA". It matches the Rfam family "Bacterial small subunit ribosomal RNA", at positions 329 to 793 of the family's 1533-position model. The record is from RNAcentral.